RNAcentral lists this ribosomal RNA (2929 nucleotides) under Escherichia coli. RNAcentral describes it as "bacterial LSU rRNA". It matches the Rfam family "Bacterial large subunit ribosomal RNA". The record is from RNAcentral. Lineage: Bacteria; Pseudomonadati; Pseudomonadota; Gammaproteobacteria; Enterobacterales; Enterobacteriaceae.
GGGUUGUGAGGUUAAGCGACUAAGCGUACACGGUGGAUGCCCUGGCAGUCAGAGGCGAUGAAGGACGUGCUAAUCUGCGAUAAGCGUCGGUAAGGUGAUAUGAACCGUUAUAACCGGCGAUUUCCGAAUGGGGAAACCCAGUGUGWUUCGACACACUAUCAUUAACUGAAUCCAUAGGUUAAUGAGGCGAACCGGGGGAACUGAAACAUCUAAGUACCCCGAGGAAAAGAAAUCAACCGAGAUUCCCCCAGUAGCGGCGAGCGAACGGGGAGGAGCCCAGAGCCUGAAUCAGUGUGUGUGUUAGUGGAAGCGUCUGGAAAGGCGCGCGAUACAGGGUGACAGCCCCGUACACAAAAAUGCACAUAYUGUGAGCUCGAUGAGUAGGGCGGGACACGUGGUAUCCUGUCUGAAUAUGGGGGGACCAUCCUCCAAGGCUAAAUACUCCUGACUGACCGAUAGUGAACCAGUACCGUGAGGGAAAGGCGAAAAGAACCCCGGCGAGGGGAGUGAAAAAGAACCUGAAACCGUGUACGUACAAGCAGUGGGAGCCUCUUUUAUGGGGUGACUGCGUACCUUUUGUAUAAUGGGUCAGCGACUUAUAUUCUGUAGCAAGGUUAACCGAAUAGGGGAGCCGAAGGGAAACCGAGUCUUAACUGGGCGUUAAGUUGCAGGGUAUAGACCCGAAACCCGGUGAUCUAGCCAUGGGCAGGUUGAAGGUUGGGUAACACUAACUGGAGGACCGAACCGACUAAUGUUGAAAAAUUAGCGGAUGACUUGUGGCUGGGGGUGAAAGGCCAAUCAAACCGGGAGAUAGCUGGUUCUCCCCGAAAGCUAUUUAGGUAGCGCCUCGUGAAYUCAUCUCCGGGGGUAGAGCACUGUUUCGGCAAGGGGGUCAUCCCGACUUACCAACCCGAUGCAAACUGCGAAUACCGGAGAAUGUUAUCACGGGAGACACACGGCGGGUGCUAACGUCCGUCGUGAAGAGGGAAACAACCCAGACCGCCAGCUAAGGUCCCAAAGUCAUGGUUAAGUGGGAAACGAUGUGGGAAGGCCCAGACAGCCAGGAUGUUGGCUUAGAAGCAGCCAUCAUUUAAAGAAAGCGUAAUAGCUCACUGGUCGAGUCGGCCUGCGCGGAAGAUGUAACGGGGCUAAACCAUGCACCGAAGCUGCGGCAGCGACACUAUGUGUUGUUGGGUAGGGGAGCGUUCUGUAAGCCUGUGAAGGUGURCUGUGAGGYAUGCUGGAGGUAUCAGAAGUGCGAAUGCUGACAUAAGUAACGAUAAAGCGGGUGAAAAGCCCGCUCGCCGGAAGACCAAGGGUUCCUGUCCAACGUUAAUCGGGGCAGGGUGAGUCGACCCCUAAGGCGAGGCCGAAAGGCGUAGUCGAUGGGAAACAGGUUAAUAUUCCUGUACUUGGUGUUACUGCGAAGGGGGGACGGAGAAGGCUAUGUUGGCCGGGCGACGGUUGUCCCGGUUUAAGCGUGUAGGCUGGUUUUCCAGGCAAAUCCGGAAAAUCAAGGCUGAGGCGUGAUGACGAGGCACUACGGUGCUGAAGCAACAAAUGCCCUGCUUCCAGGAAAAGCCUCUAAGCAUCAGGUAACAUCAAAUCGUACCCCAAACCGACACAGGUGGUCAGGUAGAGAAUACCAAGGCGCUUGAGAGAACUCGGGUGAAGGAACUAGGCAAAAUGGUGCCGUAACUUCGGGAGAAGGCACGCUGAUAUGUAGGUGAAGUCCCUCGCGGAUGGAGCUGAAAUCAGUCGAAGAUACCAGCUGGCUGCAACUGUUUAUUAAAAACACAGCACUGUGCAAACACGAAAGUGGACGUAUACGGUGUGACGCCUGCCCGGUGCCGGAAGGUUAAUUGAUGGGGUUAGCGCAAGCGAAGCUCUUGAUCGAAGCCCCGGUAAACGGCGGCCGUAACUAUAACGGUCCUAAGGUAGCGAAAUUCCUUGUCGGGUAAGUUCCGACCUGCACGAAUGGCGUAAUGAUGGCCAGGCUGUCUCCACCCGAGACUCAGUGAAAUUGAACUCGCUGUGAAGAUGCAGUGUACCCGCGGCAAGACGGAAAGACCCCGUGAACCUUUACUAUAGCUUGACACUGAACAUUGAGCCUUGAUGUGUAGGAUAGGUGGGAGGCUUWGAAGUGUGGACGCCAGUCUGCAUGGAGCCGACCUUGAAAUACCACCCUUUAAUGUUUGAUGUUCUAACGUUGACCCGUGAUCCGGGUUGCGGACAGUGUCUGGUGGGUAGUUUGACUGGGGCGGUCUCCUCCUAAAGAGUAACGGAGGAGCACGAAGGUUGGCUAAUCCUGGUCGGACAUCAGGAGGUUAGUGCAAUGGCAUAAGCCAGCUUGACUGCGAGCGUGACGGYGCGAGCAGGUGCGAAAGCAGGUCAUAGUGAUCCGGUGGUUCUGAAUGGAAGGGCCAUCGCUCAACGGAUAAAAGGUACUCCGGGGAUAACAGGCUGAUACCGCCCAAGAGUUCAUAUCGACGGCGGUGUUUGGCACCUCGAUGUCGGCUCAUCACAUCCUGGGGCUGAAGUAGGUCCCAAGGGUAUGGCUGUUCGCCAUUUAAAGUGGUACGCGAGCUGGGUUUAGAACGUCGUGAGACAGUUCGGUCCCUAUCUGCCGUGGGCGCUGGAGAACUGAGGGGGGCUGCUCCUAGUACGAGAGGACCGGAGUGGACGCAUCACUGGUGUUCGGGUUGUCAUGCCAAUGGCACUGCCCGGUAGCUAAAUGCGGAAGAGAUAAGUGCUGAAAGCAUCUAAGCACGAAACUUGCCCCGAGAUGAGUUCUCCCUGACYCYUURAGRGUCCUGAAGGAACGUUGAAGACGACGACGUUGAUAGGCCGGGUGUGUAAGCGCAGCGAUGCGUUGAGCUAACCGGUACUAAUGAACCGUGAGGCUUAACCUUACAACGCCGAAGCUGUU